Molecule: ribosomal RNA, 497 nt
Filed under: uncultured bacterium
Lineage: Bacteria
Description: partial 16S ribosomal RNA
Rfam family: Bacterial small subunit ribosomal RNA
Source: RNAcentral
GAUGAACGCUGGCGGCGUGCCUAAUACAUGCAAGUCGAGCGAACAGACGAGGAGCUUGCUCCUCUGACGUUAGCGGCGGACGGGUGAGUAACACGUGGAUAACCUACCUAUAAGACUGGGAUAACUUCGGGAAACCGGAGCUAAUACCGGAUAAUAUAUUGAACCGCAUGGUUCAAUAGUGAAAGACGGUUUUGCUGUCACUUAUAGAUGGAUCCGCGCCGCAUUAGCUAGUUGGUAAGGUAACGGCUUACCAAGGCAACGAUGCGUAGCCGACCUGAGAGGGUGAUCGGCCACACUGGAACUGAGACACGGUCCAGACUCUUACGGGAGGCAGCAGUAGGGAAUCUUCCGCAAAGGGCGAAAGCUUGACGGAGCAACGCCGCGUGAGUGAUGAAGGUCUUCGGAUCGUAAAACUCUGUUAUUAGGGAAGAACAAAUGUGUAAGUAACUAUGCACGUCUUGACGGUACCUAAUCAGAAAGCCACGGCUAACUACGUG